UAGCAUAUCAAUAAGCGGAGGAAAAGAAACCAACAGGGAUUGCCCCAGUAACGGCGAGUGAAGCGGCAACAGCUCAAAUUUGAAAUCUGGCCCCCAGGGGCCCGAGUUGUAAUUUGCAGAGGAUGCUUUUGGCGCGGCGCCUUCCGAGUUCCCUGGAACGGGACGCCAUAGAGGGUGAGAGCCCCGUCUGGUCGGACGCCAAGCCAGUGUAAAGCUCCUUCGACGAGUCGAGUAGUUUGGGAAUGCUGCUCUAAAUGGGAGGUAUAUGUCUUCUAAAGCUAAAUAUAGGCCAGAGACCGAUAGCGCACAAGUAGAGUGAUCGAAAGAUGAAAAGCACUUUGAAAAGAGGGUUAAACAGUACGUGAAAUUGUUGAAAGGGAAGCACUUGUGACCAGACUUGGGCCCGGUGAAUCAUCCAGCGUUCUCGCUGGUGCACUUCGCCGGGCUCAGGCCAGCAUCAGUUCGCCGCGGGGGACAAAAGCUUCGGGAACGUGGCUCCCUCGGGAGUGUUAUAGCCCGUUGCACAAUACCCUGCGGUGGACUGAGGUUCGCGCUCCGCAAGGAUGCUGGCGUAAUGGUCACCAGUGACCCGUCUUGAAACACGGACCAAGGAGUCGUCUUCGUAUGCGAGUGUUCGGGUGUCAAACCCCUACGCGUAAUGAAAGUGAACGCAGGUGAGAGCUUCGGCGCAUCAUCGACCGAUCCUGAUGUUCUCGGAUGGAUUUGAGUAAGAGCAUACGGGGCCGGACCCGAAAGAAGGUGAACUAUGCCUGUAUAGGGUGAAGCCAGAGGAAACUCUGGUGGAGGCUCGCAGCGGUUCUGACGUGCAAAUCGAUCGUCAAAUAUGGGCAUGGGGGCGAAAGACUAAUCCAACCUUUUAGUAGCUGGUUUCCCCCGAU
This 899-nucleotide ribosomal RNA is filed under the name Tolypocladium cylindrosporum. RNAcentral describes it as "LSU rRNA". It matches the Rfam family "Eukaryotic large subunit ribosomal RNA", at positions 36 to 965 of the family's 3401-position model. The record is from RNAcentral. Lineage: Eukaryota; Fungi; Ascomycota; Sordariomycetes; Hypocreales; Ophiocordycipitaceae.